Molecule: transfer RNA, 71 nt
Filed under: Gavia stellata (red-throated loon)
Lineage: Eukaryota; Metazoa; Chordata; Aves; Gaviiformes; Gaviidae
Description: tRNA-Phe
Rfam family: tRNA
About the family: Transfer RNA (tRNA) molecules are approximately 80 nucleotides in length. Their secondary structure includes four short double-helical elements and three loops (D, anti-codon, and T loops).
Source: RNAcentral
GUCCCUGUAGCUUACAGCAAAGCAUGGCACUGAAGAUGCCAAGACGGUUGUCUCUAUCAUACCCAAGGACA